GAUGAACGCUGGCGGCGUGCCUAAUACAUGCAAGUCGAGCGAACGGACGAGAAGCUUGCUUCUCUGAUGUUAGCGGCGGACGGGUGAGUAACACGUGGAUAACCUACCUAUAAGACUGGGAUAACUUCGGGAAACCGGAGCUAAUACCGGAUAAUAUUUUGAACCGCAUGGUUCAAAAGUGAAAGACGGUCUUGCUGUCACUUAUAGAUGGAUCCGCGCUGCAUUAGCUAGUUGGUAAGGUAACGGCUUACCAAGGCAACGAUGCAUAGCCGACCUGAGAGGGUGAUCGGCCACACGGGAGCUGGGACGCGGUCCAGACUCCUGCGGGAAGCAGCAGUAGGGAAUCUUCCGCAAUGGGCGAAAGCCUGACGGAGCAAGGCGGCGUGAGUGGUGAAGGUCUUCGGAGCGUAAAGCUCUGUUAUUAGGGAAGAACAUAUGUGUAAGUAACUGUGCACAUCUUGACGGUACCUAAUCAGAAAGCCACGGCUAACUACGUG
Molecule: ribosomal RNA, 497 nt
Filed under: uncultured bacterium
Lineage: Bacteria
Description: partial 16S ribosomal RNA
Rfam family: Bacterial small subunit ribosomal RNA
Source: RNAcentral